AACCAUUCUCACCUGCGGCUAGACCUGCGGAGGGAUCAUUACUGAGUGAGGGCUCACGCCCGACCUCCAACCCUUUGUGAACCAAACUUGUUGCUUCGGGGGCGACCCUGCCGACGACUCCGUCGCCGGGCGCCCCCGGAGGUCUUCUAAACACUGCAUCUUUGCGUCGGAGUUUAAACAAAUUAAACAAAACUUUCAACAACGGAUCU
This 209-nucleotide unclassified non-coding RNA is filed under the name soil metagenome. RNAcentral's name for it is "partial contains 5.8S ribosomal RNA, internal transcribed spacer 2, and large subunit ribosomal RNA". The record is from RNAcentral.